GGGGAUGUCUUGGCGCUAGAAGGCGAUGAAGGGCGUGGAAGGCUGCGAAAAGUCUGGGGGAGCCGUCAAACAGGCAUUGAUCCCGGAAUCCCUGAAUUAUUGCAUGAUGAAUCCAUAGUCAUGCAAGGCGAACGUGGAGAACUGAAACAUCUCAGUACCCACAGGAAGAGAAAGAAAACUCGACUCCCUGAGUAGUGGCGAGCGAAACGGGAUAUAGCCUAAACCGACGUCUACGGAUGUCGGGGUCGUGGGGCCGAACUACAUGAAGUAAAAAAACCAAAUCUUAGAGGAAUCCAGCUGGAACGUUGGACCACAGAGGGUGAAAGUCCCGUACUCGAAAAGAUUUGGACUUCUGCUCGGUACCCGAGUAAGUCCGGGCACGUGAAACCUGGACCGAAUCUGGGAGGCCCAUCUCCCAAGGCUAAGUACUCUCUAGCGACCGAUAGUAAAUAAGUAGCGCGAGCGAAAGAUGAAAAGAACCCCGCAAGGGGAGGGAAAGA
RNAcentral lists this ribosomal RNA (500 nucleotides) under uncultured bacterium. RNAcentral's name for it is "bacterial LSU rRNA". It matches the Rfam family "Bacterial large subunit ribosomal RNA", at positions 24 to 545 of the family's 2925-position model. The record is from RNAcentral.